RNAcentral lists this ribosomal RNA (493 nucleotides) under uncultured bacterium. RNAcentral describes it as "partial 16S ribosomal RNA". It matches the Rfam family "Bacterial small subunit ribosomal RNA", at positions 28 to 506 of the family's 1533-position model. The record is from RNAcentral.
GACGAACGCUGGCGGCGUGCUUAACACAUGCAAGUCGAACGGAAAGGCCUGCUUUCCCUUGUGGAUUGCGGGUACUCGAGUGGCGAACGGGUGAGUAACACGUGAGUGAUCUGCCCCCAACUUGGGUAUAAGCCUGGGAAACUGGGUCUAAUUCCCGAUAGGACUGCAGGGUGGUGCCUGUGGUGGAAAACGAUUUUCUAGUGGUUGGGGAUGAGCUCGCGGCCUAUCAGCUUGUUGGUGGGGUAAUGGCCUACCAAGGCGGCGACGGGUAGCCGGCCUGGGAGGGUGGACGGCCACAGUGGGACUGAGAUACGGCCCAGACUCCUACGGGAGGCAGCAGUGGGGAAUAUUGCACAAUGGGCGGAAGCCUGAUGCAGCGACGCCGCGUGGGGGAUGACGGCCUUCGGGUUGUAAACUCCUUUCGACCGCGAGGAAGCCACCUGGUUGGAAGGGUGGUGACGGUAGUGGUAGAAGAAGCACCGGCUAACUACGU